UUGCCGAUCCCACCACCAAU
This 20-nucleotide non-coding RNA is filed under the name Arabidopsis thaliana (thale cress). Lineage: Eukaryota; Viridiplantae; Streptophyta; Magnoliopsida; Brassicales; Brassicaceae. The record is from RNAcentral.